Molecule: ribosomal RNA, 674 nt
Filed under: uncultured bacterium
Lineage: Bacteria
Description: bacterial SSU rRNA
Rfam family: Bacterial small subunit ribosomal RNA
Source: RNAcentral
UAACAGUUCGAAAAGGGGCUGCUAAUACCGAAUAAUUUACCGAUAAUGCGAGUUAUUGGAGGAAAAGGUAACCCUCUUGAUAAAGUUACCCGUAGAGGGAGGGGGCUUGCGUACCCAUUAGCUAGUUGGCGAGGUAACGGCUCCCCAAGGCGACGAUGGUUAGCGGGUCUGAGAGGAUGAUCCGCCACACUGGAACUGAAACACGGACCAGACUCCUACGGGAGGCAGCAGUGAGGAAUAUUGCGCAAUGGGGGCAACCCUGACGCAGCGACGCCGCGUGAGUGAAGAAGGCCUUUGGGUUGUAAAGCUCUGUCGGGAGGGAAGAAAUGCUUGGCGGUUAAUAGCCGUCAGGUUUGACGGUACCUUCAAAGGAAGCACCGGCUAACUCCGUGCCAGCAGCCGCGGUAAUACGGAGGGUGCGAGCGUUAAUCGGAAUUACUGGGCGUAAAGGGCGCGUAGGCGGCCCGGCAAGUCAGAUGUGAAAGCCCACGACUCAAUCGUGUGAAGUGCAUUUGAAACUAUCGGGCUUGAGUACCGGCGGGGGAGAUGGAAUUCCCGGUGUAGAGGUGAAAUUCGUAGAUAUCGGGAGGAAUACCGGUGGCGAAGGCGAUCUUCUGGACGGAUACUGACGCUGAGGCGCGAAAGCGUGGGGAGCGAACGGGAUUAGAUACCCU